This 284-nucleotide long non-coding RNA is filed under the name Pelobates cultripes (western spadefoot toad). The record is from RNAcentral. Lineage: Eukaryota; Metazoa; Chordata; Amphibia; Anura; Pelobatidae.
GGGAGGGGGGGUUAAAGAACACUAUGGGACAGGGUAGGAGGGGUUAACAAUCACUAUGGGACAGGGUAGGAGGGGUUAACAAUCACUAUGGGACAGAGGAAAGGGGGGUUAAAGAUCAUUAUGGGACAGGGGAGAAAAAAAAAUAUUCUGAACAAACUGUCCCAUGGUAAGAAACACCAUGGAACAGUUUGUUCAGAAUAUUUUUUUUUCUGGGUUUCCUCCUCUAAAAACUAGGUGCGUCUUAUGGUGAGGUGCGUCUUAUGGAGCGAAAAAUACGGUAAUCC